This is an RNA transcript of Helianthus annuus (common sunflower), 4266 nucleotides long. RefSeq lists it as uncharacterized. The transcript is spliced from 8 exons. NCBI's taxonomy places the organism in Eukaryota, Viridiplantae, Streptophyta, Magnoliopsida, Asterales, Asteraceae. The record is from RefSeq and is a predicted model, not a curated record.
UUUCCUUUUAUCUUCAGCCGCACAUACACAGAGUUCAUCUCCUCCAUGUAUCUUUCAAACAAACCCUAAUGCCCCCAUUUGUGUGAUCAACCGUUCUCAACCUUUCCCUCCCAAAUACACUUUCAUCUCUACAACCAUAUCAACCUAUCCAUCCUCCCUGUUUGCACUCAUGAAUCCACAGUCGGACCUCCAUCCUCCUCCUCCCUCAACAUCACAAAUCCCUUAUAUCAACACCACACCCUCACAACUGAAGAAUGAGAUGAGAGACAGAACGAAGAAAUAGAGAGAGAGAUAUCGAAGACGAAGGACGACGGCGGCAGCCCGCCAUACGUGGCGGCGGCAGCGGUGGCGUGUUGGUUCCGACGAGUUCCGCCGCACACCGAUGACAUGAAGUGGUCCGACAACUCCGGUAAACCCUCACUCGUCACGUCUCUUCUUUUCCUUUUUAUCUUUUUGGAAGAACUGAUGAUGUUUUUGUUGCUGCUAUGAUGAUUGAUGAUGAUGGUGCUGGUGGCCGAACACCACUGCCGACGGCCGCUAACGGCUGUGGUGGUGGUGGUGGAAGGUUAUUAUUGAUUAAGAUGUGUUACAGGAUUCGAGUGUUUGGGUUUAAGAUUCGGGUCUCAGAUUAGACACGGGUCAGCUUUGGAUCCGAGAGCUUUGGUUCGACUAGAUUCGGGUUUUAUUUUCGGGUCCUUUUGGUUGGGUCAACAGAAGUCAAAUCUGGUCAACUGUCGGAUUAGCGGAUCAUUCACAAGACUUGGGUGACAUCGGUGUUCCUUCCUCCGUUAAGUAGGUGUUCAAGGCUUUGGUAGAAUUUAGGUGAAUCGGUGUUCCAUCCUCCUAAUCUCAUACACUCGUCAACACUUGGAUAAUCGGAAGACUUAGCAAUUAUAAUAAAAUUGUUUGCGGGUCAGCUCAGUCCACAUGCGUCGGAACAUCCUCUCGCGGCUUAUGGGUAACAACCUUGGUGGUUCAAGCAUUCAACAACUGCAUCAACUAGAGAAACAGCUGACUGAUGGCUUAGUUUUAAUCAAAGAAAAGAAGUUUUUGAUUUAUCUAUAAACUUUUUGGGAAAUUUAUUAGUUUGAGAAUGAUAAUGUGGAACCUGAGUUCAGGAUGCUAUGGUGCUUGAGGAGAUUGAAUGUUCAAAUCGCAAGGAACGAGAACUUGCUUAUGAAAACGAUGUUCUUCAAGUUGAGUUACAGACUUUGGCAUGUAUGCAUAAGAGAUGGUGUCAAAGAAGAGACUAUAUUACGGAGGACUUGACGGUUUCCAUGCCCCUGUGGUACCUAAAGCUCCAAGAUCCUUAAGGAGGAAUUCAGACAAGAAAUCAUCAGCUGGUAGCGAACUUUGCCCCUUUGAGUUAUAGGCAGCUGUAGCCGGCAAGUUAUUACAAGAGAGCGAAAGUUCCGUUUCCAGCGCUGGUCCAAACCCUCUAAUUUAGCGUUAAAGAAGGGAGCUGGAUUACGCUUCGGUUAUGGCAGAACUUCUGUUGUUCAAUCACUCGAUUCCGAUUCCACCAUUGAUAUUGAUAAUUCGCUGGUUCCGGUUCUAGCUUCUCUUUCAGUUUCAUCUGUAUCAUCUCCUGUAGUUGUUUCCGAAGUAAAACUUGAAUUAGAAGAAGAAAAACCGCAAAAUCGAGUUACUGAAUCUGAAAUUAGGUCUGAAAUUAAAGUGGUGGCAUCAGAAACCGAAGAUCUCAAAGGAGGGAUCGAGAUAAACGAGAAAUUCUUUAUCAGACAUAUAGAUGGAACCCCAAUUAGUUCAGAAGCCGAAAAACAACGAGUGAUCAUGUGUUUAAAAUCUGCCAUUGAAAGAAGAGCAUCCGAGGGUGUGCGGCUUGAACUUUGUAAACCCGCCAACCCGGGCUAUUAGCCGAAGUGACACGAACGUUUAGGGAAAACGUUAUGAAUGUCACACAAGCAGAGAUAUCUACAAAUAUGGGCAUGGCUCUGAACAUUUUCUAUGUAACAGACGCGAUUGGAAACCCGGUGGAUUCGAAAGUCAUAGAUUCGGUUAUGGACAAAAUCGGUCCGGGUUACUUGAAAGUUAAGGAACUACCAUUGAUGUAUCAUAAAAAGGCUGAACACAGUACCGAUUAUAGCAGUACUGUACUGGUUCUUUACCAGCAGUGUUAAAAUACCGAAACCGAAAUCUCUAAAAAUGAUAACCAGUACCGAUACCACGGUAUUUGUUCGGUCAGUAUCAGUUCGGUAAUAGUAUUUGUUAAAAGUCGCUCACCUCUAACUGUAUUACAGCUGGCUGACAUCAUCCUGCAGGCCAUAAUCCCUAAUUUUACGCCAUUUUUUAAUGAAUUUUAUAAUAAUAUGAAACGCAUUGACACUAACGGCGUUAGCUUUAACGGUGUUGUAGCGAGAAAGAAGACCUGCAAACCGUGGCGGUUGCAAAGUGAUUUGAGUUAAUUUGCUGCGAAUUCCAGCUUGAAAUCUAUUUGUUUCGAUCAGUCUUGACAGGUUAUUGUUCGGUGAUUUCAGUACGUGAUUCGGAGUGUGUUUUGAUAUUUUCAGAUUUGAAUCUGAAUCUGUUUGUUAGAGGUUGACAAUUUUUGUUGUGUAGAAGGUUGGCAUUUGGCUGGGAGUCUAAGCAACGACUCGAGUGAUGAUUGUGUAUGGCUGAAAUAAAAAUAGUGACUGCAGUUUCGAGUUAAUUUUCAGUUUAUAGUAUAAAGAAAAAAACAAGUAAAACACUGUGUGCAGUAUCGAUUUACUGCUGUUGGAUUAGGUUGUUGUUUUGAAGAAACGUUUUGUGUGUAGGCUUUUAGGGUUAAUAAUCUAAUCUAUAGUUGCAUUACCAGCUGUCUUGGUUAGUAUUACCUAGCUUUAAUAAAUAAUGGAUCCAUAACGGGAAUGUGCUUGCCUUUCAUCAACUAUAUCUGCACGUCUACAUUCGAACUAUAUUUAGUCUUUUAACUUUAUGGUUUGAAAUUUUCAGGCAUUCACAAGAUAUGUCCGACAAAGAGGAGCAAAGACAGUACGAUGGCGGAGUUGCCAGAUGUGAAGAACCGUCGGUUUCGUCUGAUGGAAACUCACAACAGUUGAGUAGAGAACGCGUUAAGCUUUUGGCUAACUCGCCGGGCGAUUGUGAAACGGCGUCGUUUAAGUGUUUCUCCGUUUCCGUUUCCUAUUCUGAAGAAGAAAGUUAGACCUAGCAUCGGUAAACACUCCGAUAAAGAAGGUCAAUGGAGUUCUUCACUUUAAAAAGUAAAUCGAGUCAUGACUCAGCGGUUUCUGACCGAGUUAGCUUGUCGAUUAGUAGAUUACUGAAACAAUUAUUCACAAUUAUUUUCAAAACUUCAGAAAAAGUCAAACGACACCUUCAUCGACGGCAACCAGCCACAAACGCCUCCGAGAACAGAGUCCGAAGACAUCUGUCAUCUCUUCAGCCACAUCAGUACAGUUGAUUAUAUCGGUAAAACCCUAAAACCUUCAAUACAGUUGAUUUUUGUUUGUUUUAGUUGUUGAUUGACUGUUUGUGAUUGAUUUAAUUUGUUGAAUUGAUUUGAUUUUGAUGGAGGAUCCUGUGGAGGAGUUGAAGAGGAGCAAAGACAGUAUGAUGGAGGAGUUGCCAGAUAUGAAGAAUCGUCGGUUUCGUCUGACGGAAACUCACAACAGUUGAGUAGAGAACGCGUUAAGCUUUUGGCUAACCCGUCGGACGAUUGUGAAACGACGUCAUUUAAGUGUUUCUCCGUUUCUGAUUUGAAGAAGAAAGUUAGAGCUAGCAUCGGUAAUGGAUUCUUGUGAGACUCGGGUCGAAUAUCGAGCAAGAGACUGCCACCCGAAGAAGAUUAUAGUGUUGGGGAUUCUGCUACAGAGUCAUCGUUAAAAAUAGUGUUUUGUGGAGAAAAAGUGGUUGAAACCACUGUUGGAUUAAAACGGUGGUUUCAAACCACUGUUGGGUUAAAACGGUGGUUUCAAACCACUGUUGAGUUAAAACAAUUGGGUUAAACGGUGGUUUGAAACCACUGUUGAGUUAAAACAGUGGUUUCAAACCAACAUUUCAACCCAACAGUGGUUUCAACCACUAUUUCUCCACAAAAACACCGUUUUAAUGAUAACUCUUUAGCAGAUUCUCCAACACUAUAAUCUUCUUCGGAUAAACUUCGACCAACAGUGGUUUCAAACCACCGUUUUAAAUUAUAAAUUAUCCAUUACAUCUACAAUACGUUAUCUAAAGUAUUUGAUAAAAAGGUUUAUUGUGUUUACUGUUUAGGGAUUCUACCUAAUUAUAGAUAAUUAUUAUUUA